This 253-nucleotide ribosomal RNA is filed under the name uncultured bacterium. RNAcentral describes it as "partial 16S ribosomal RNA". It matches the Rfam family "Bacterial small subunit ribosomal RNA", at positions 524 to 776 of the family's 1533-position model. The record is from RNAcentral.
UACGGAGGGGGCUAGCGUUAUUCGGAAUCACUGGGCGUAAAGGGCGCGUAGGCGGGUUCUUAAGUUAGGUGUUUAAUCCCGGGGCCCAACCCCGGACCGGCACUUAAAACUGGGAAUCUUGAAUAGUGGAGAGGUCAGUGGAAUUGGGGGUGUAGCGGUGGAAUGCGUAGAGAUCCCCAAGAACACCAGUUGCGAAGGCGGCUGACUGGACACAUAUUGACGCUGAGGCUCGAAAGCAUGGGGAGCAAACAGG